CCGACCUUAAUAUAACAUUUUGUUUUUCCAUUUCGCUAGAUAGAUUCUGAGUUGUUCCAACAAGUUACUACAAUAAGAUAUUUUCACAUUUCUACCGAUGACCGGAAGUGCUACCUCUGGAAAUUCGUGUUGGAAAUCUCAUAAAGUGUGUGAUCUUCACAUAUUAUUAAUAAUAUCACAAGUGUUAAAGUUUUAAACAAAAGUAUAUUCAUAUGGAUACAUUAGUGUAGCCUAGACAAUAGAAGUUGAUCUGGAGCUCAAAUAAGACGACUUCACAAUAACUUGUUGACUCAGCCUUUGUUUCUCAUGCAACCUGGUUACAGCCCAAGUAAGAGAUUGGAGAUCCCCAUUUCUGGAAUACUUCCAAGGUGGAAAAAUGUAAGAGGAUAAGAAUGAGCGUCGGAAGUUACAAACACGCAUUCUGAGAUUUUGCAACAUAGGGGACACCCUCUAAAGAAAUCCUACGAUGAUGGAUCCCUAAUAAAUGGUCUCAUAAUACGAGGAUCAAUACACAGCAGAAGAAAUUCACAAAGGUGUGUGGGGAAUCCACCAAGGGGGAGAUCUUUAGAUCAAAGAAUAGCAAGACAAGGAUACUUCUACUCACAUUAAAAAGAGAUACAAUAUUCAUUUAUGCAAGAGGGUAUAAAGCUAAUAAGAUUCACAAAAAUAUCCAAAGAAAUCCCGCGACAUUACUAACCGGGAUUAAUUGUCCAAUCUCUUUUGCAAUGUGGGGGUUGGAUAUUGUUAGACCAAAUUUAUAUUUAUCACCGUUGACUACUUUACUAAGUGGGUUGAAACCUUAGAAGUAUCCUGAAGCAACUCAAAUUAAAUCAAUUACGUAAAAGAGUUGACCUGAUGGUCAGGAUUGCCCCGAUCCAAAAUCUGAAGACCCUAGGUGUCAGAGGCAGCGCGCAACCGGGAAAUCACCCUUAAAUCAAGGCUGAGCUUCAAUCUCCGCUGUUAAGCAAGGAGAGGAAGAGCUUGAUACGGCAGAUGACAAUUGAUAGACAGAUGGGAAGCGUUCAGGAGCAAAAUGCGAUAGGGAUGAGGCGGAGGCGUACUCAGCUAUUACUGGAUGAAAUUAGGGUUGCGGGAAUUUUGUUUAUAAUUUCGAUAAAAAUUCUGUCAAUGAUUACAUCAGACUUUUAUAUCUAGGUGGUGAUACAGUAUCCCUCACCCCCAUCACUAGGAAUCUUGAAAAUGCGAUAAUGAAAAACGCAUGGGGUUCAUAAUAAAGAAAACUAAUUUAUUUCAUUUGAUCCGGAUCCAUUUCAAAGUCAUCGAACCGGGCUGGUCGGUUCUUCUGCCUUUUUGGCCUGGGGUUGUUAGGCUGGUCUUUCUCCUCCAACCGUUGCGAACCAUCGUUCUUCGCCAAAUCAGAGUUUAGGGUUUCACUUGCACCUGUUUGAAUAGCGUCGACGUCCUCUGUAAUUGCGUCGAAAUCAACCCAGUACGUAUCAUACCCAAUGAUGGGGGUGAAACCCGACCAGUACUCCAAGACGCGCAAGCAAGCGCCAAGCGGGGAACUCCGCGGGAAACCGGACCGGAACUCAAGUGUGCAGAGCUCUGCUUCGCUAGGAAUUCUUCUUCUCCAAAUGACUUGCCUUUAAUGAGUGGGGGGUGCCCUCUAUUUAUAGGGGUUCUUAUGGGGGCAAUAUGGUCAUUUGGGCAGUAACCGCCUAACUGCCCAACUGAUCAGAUUGGGUCCAGGGGUCGACUUUCUGGGGGUCGACUUUUCCUGGUGAUCGACUUUACUCAAAAGUCGAUCCCAGGAAAGUCGAUCCUCAGGAAAGUCGAUCUUCCUAGGAUUCGACCUGGGACCUCCCCAACCGUAGAAUAGAUACCCUACCUCAUCUAAGGCUACCCGGACUUCUAGUUGCUGGUAGGUUGUGACCGUGUUCGGGAUACUGUAUCACCAGUACUCCCCCCUCCUCUGCGUAUUAAAUACUUCGGGAUACGUCUUUUAGUAAUUUUUCCAACAGAUGAUUUUUUCUUCCAUGUUACAUUUGUAAGCCAAAAAUCAACCAUCUCCUUCCAUAUAAUCGGUGAGAUCCAAGGAGGAUUGAAUUGAAUAAUUGAUAUGUCCAUCUUGUCAAUGGCAAUUCCUGCCUUAUUACAAGCAUUUUUCCUCGCUAUAUGAAGAUUGUUUUUAUACGUCUGGUUGACAUAUUUCUCGAAUUGGAAUCUAGCGACAUCAUUAUCGUGAAAACUGAAAAAUUUCUGUAAAUUACAAAUGAUGGGGGUGAAACCCGACCAGUACUCCAAGACGCGCAAGCAAGCGCCAAGCGGGGAACUCCGCGGGAAACCGGACCGGAACUCAAGUGCGCAGAGCUCUGCUUCGCUAGGAAUCCUUUCGCUCCAAAUGACCUGCCUUUAAUGAGUGGGGGGUGCCCUCUAUUUAUAGGGGUUCUUAUGGGGGCAAUAUGGUCAUUUGGGCAGUAACCGCCUAACUGCCCAACUGAUCAGAUUGGGUCCAGGGGUCGACUUUCCAGAGAUCGACUUUCUGGGGGUCGACUUUUCCUGGUGAUCGACUUUACUCAAAAGUCGAUCCCAGGGAAGUCGAUCCUCAGGAAAGUCGAUCUUCCUAGGAUUCGACCUGGGACCUCCCCAACCCUAGAAUAGAUACCCUACCUCAUCUUAGGCUACCCGGACUUCUAGUUGCUGGUAGGUUGUGACCGUGUUCGGGCCAGAUACUUCCGGAAGAUUAACGAAGUGGGCACUGGAGUUAAGCGAGUUCGAUGUAGAUUUUGUUCCUGCCACAGCCAUUAAAGGGCAAGCAGUUGUAGACUUUAUUGUAGACAUGACCCAGGAAAGCAAAGAAAAACCUUGGAUAGUAGAGGUUGAUGGCUCGAGCUGCAGUACAGGUGCAGGAGUGGGAAUAAAGAUAAUCACUCCAGACCAACGAAUAUAUGAACAUUCUAUCAGAUUAUAGUUCUCAGCUACGAAUAAUAUAGCAGAAUACGAAGCUGUGAUCCAAGGAAUGAAAAUUCUCAAAAGGUUAGGGGCCUGUUCAGUAAUUAUUAAAACAGACUCUCAAUUAGUGGCUCGGCAAUUCACAGGAGAGUUCACUGUUAAAGAACCUCUAAUUGUACAGUACGCAGCCACACUGGAGAAAAUCAAAGAACAAUUUACUAAAGUUGAAGUAGAACAGAUACCAAGGAGUCAAAAUAACUCAGCUGAUGCCCUGGCAAAGCUAGCUUCUGCUUUCGAGGGGGGCAGAGAGAGAUACUAGUUGACUCAGCAUCUACACCUUCAUGUAACUUAGUCACGAUCCAGGCAGAAGACUGGAGGAAGCCCUUGAUAGAAUACUUCGAGGGACAGAAACUUCCUGAAAAUAAAAAUGAAAGACGCAAGUUACAAACACGCGUUUCAAAAUUCUGCCUGAUCGGUGAUAUUCUGUAUAAGAAAUCCUACGACGGACCUCUGAUGAAAUGUGUCUCAACAGAAGAAGGACAAUUCAUUGUGGAGGAGAUUCAUCAAGGAGUAUGCGGAAUACAUCAGGGGGGAAGAUCUUUGGCCCAAAGAAUAAUAAGGCAAGGAUACUUCUGGCCCACACUGAAAAAAGAUGCAGUCCUAUUUGCAAGAAAAUGCAAGGCCUGUCAAAUACACAAGAACAUACAGAGAAAUCCCGCAUCUCAGCUAACAGGGGUAGAAAGCCCCAUCCCCUUUGCAAUGUGGGGAUUAGAUAUUGUGGGACCAUUUCCAGUAUCGACAGGCCAAGCUAAAUUUAUAUUUGUGGCUGUCGAUUACUUUACUAAAUGGGUCGAGGCACUAGUUGUACCCAAGAUAACUCAAGGAGCAGCAACGAAAUUUGUCUUCAAGUGCAUAAUGUGCAGAUUUGGUGUUCCAAUGCAUAUAGUGACAGAUAACGGUACACAGUUUACCGGUGGGGAGUUUACGAGAUUGUGCGAAAACAUGGGCACUAGAAUCCAUUUUUCAUCGCUAUACAGACCACAGGGUAAUGGGCAAGUAGAAGUCACAAACAGAGCCAUCGUUCAGGGACUGAAAAAAAAGUCGAACAGGCCAAAGGUUUGUGGGCAGAUCUACUACCAGAGAUCCUGUGGGCGUAUAGAACCACUGAAAAGACACCCACCGGAGAAACCCCGUUCUCACUAGCAUAUGGAAUGGAAGCACUAAUCCCAACAGAGCUAAGCAUUCCAACGGUCAGAGUGUUAUCCUAUGACAUGGAAGAAAACAUGAGAUCAUGUGCGAUAACUCUGGACUUAGUGGAUGAGCUUAGGGACAACGCACAGGCAAAGAAUGCAGCUUACAAACAAAGUAUCGCUAGAUACCACGACAAGAAUGUCAAGGGUAAAGCGAUAAGAAAAGGAAGCCUAGUAUGGAGAAGAGCGAGUGUCGGUAGAAAAGACUGCUCUAAAGGCAAACUAGGUGCAAAGUGGGAAGGACCAUAUGUGGUGGAGGAUGAACUCCGACCAGACACGUACAAGUUAAAGCGGGAGGAUGGAACAGGCAUUCCUAAUACUUGGCACGCAGAUAACCUACAGUUAUACUUUUAAACAGUUAAGUAGGAUUAUAAUUACUCUUGUAAUAGUUUGAACUAUGUAACCAAUACGUUAUUUAGUUAGCUAUCAGAACACUUGAAAAUACAUUCCAUAUAUUGAUUUUAAAAAGAAUUACAGAGGAAUGUAAAUUACAACAGUCAAAAGGAUAAGAUAGAGGAUUUAAUCUAUUUUAGGAGGGGGGGGUGUAUCCUUAGAGCCCUCUGCAUCGUUGUUAUCUUGAUCUUCUACGCAGAAAUCUUUAUCAACGUCAGCAAGCGCCUCUAGAACCUCCUCUUCUUCUUCAUUCUCCUCAUCCUCUUCUUCCGCAAGCGCCCGGUUUCGAACUUCAGUAGCUUCCUUGGGGUACUUGCGGGCCCAGUCAUGGACAUCCGCAGCCUCGAAACCAGGGCAAACAUGAGGGCCCAGAUCAACCAAGUCAUUAUAAUCUCGCACAUUGCAAGAUAAUCAACUUUGAGCUUCUCCAGAUGGUUGAUCAUACGUUGAAGCUCCUCAGUUGCUUGUCGAGCUUCCUCAGUUGCUUGUCGAGCUUCCUCAGUCAAGCGUUGGACCUCCUCAGUUUUUGCCUGGUCCAUUUCCUUCAGUCGCAUUAUUAAUUUCUGAUUAUCAUCCUGCGACUUCAACAGCUUCUUGUUCUCUUCAUGACUCUCACCCAGUCGGUCGGAAAAUAUGGAGUUCUGUGUCCGACAGGAGUCAAGAUUCGCCUCAACAUUUUCGCGCUGACGGCCAAGAUCGACAAUUAUCGAAUCUUUAAUCAGGACCUUGGCACGUUCAGCAGUCAGUUCCAGCUCUGCAGCCCCCAAUUCACCCUUGAUUUUGGAGAUUUCCUGCUCUUUAUCUCUCAAGAGAUUCCUUUGAGCAGCCCAAUCCGCAGAUAACUUCUUAUUGGUGGCAGACAGAGUUGAGGUGUCGGAAAUCUUUUGUGAAACCUCGCCUUCCAAAUCUUUGCAUCGGCGCUUCACCUUCUUCAAAUCGUCUUCCAUAGACUGAUAGUCACGGAGACGAGACAAAGAAGAGAGGCGGCCCUGAAACAAGUAGGUGAGCUGCAAAAAAAGAAUGGGUAAGGACACGCUCAUAAAAAUAAUCAAAAUAAGAGCACUCACGUUGCUCAGGUUCUGUCCUAUCUCUUCAACAGUACGAUCCAUCGGAUACCCAGAGAUGGCCCGCAGUGUAGUCCGGGCGAUAUCCGUAUCAGGGGUCAGAAGAAACUUGGACCCAUAAUUCCGGGGGUGUGCACCUUGGUACCCCGGCAGUUGUGUCUCCCGGGUGGAAGAAUAAUUGUAGCGACCCCGGGAGGACUCCCAAGCAUAAAAUCUCCGGCGUGGAGGAGUUCGUCGCCUGGGAGAAUGUCUCCUCGACUUCCUUGGAGGAGAUGAGGUGGUCCUGGAGGGAGGAGUUCGUUCUUUUCUUCUUCUCCUCUCAGAGAUCUCUUUCUCUGUAGUUUUUUCAGUCCGCUUAGACUGAAUCUCUUUCUCUGUGGCCUUCUCCGCUUUCUCUCGCUCUUCUUCUGACAGAGUAGGGAAGAAGUCGGAGAGCCUCGAAGCAGCAGGAGACUGCCCAGGAGUAGUGUCUUUAGGUACCUCCGGAGGUACCUCCCGUCCUCAGUUCGUUGGACUUCGUUAGGAGGAGUAGGGGACUUCGCCAUGGUGUAGGCGUUCUCUAGAGCACGCUGCCUCAGAUGAUCAGCAUCAGAAGGCUUGGAGGCAGCUGCAUAAACUUUUGAACCCGUUUCAUUUUGCCCAACGCGUUCAGGGACACCUCCGGGGUUUUGCAUAUAAAAAUCUGCAAGGAAUAAAAACAGAAUUAGAAAAUGCAUAUGUAUAGAAAAACGUAAAAGGAAAAACAGGCAAAGGAAGACCUUGUCGGUUAAAAGUAUCUUCAAUCGCGUGACCGACAGGCACAGCGAUAGGAUGCAAAAAGGCCAACUUUUGCACGGAAGCUCCCUCUUCCUCAGUCAGAUCAGGACGAGGAAUAGGUUUGCGGCCACUAGUGGAUGCAGGGAGAAGUCUGCUACCAGGGCAUAACCUGCAAUCCACAAAAAUAAACUCACUCUUGUUCCGCCUGGUCGGAGGAUCUUUCAAGAGGGCAGAGUGAGUGAUAGAUAUAGCACGGCUGGCACAUGCAAUGAAAGGGCUGCCCUUCUUCGGAUUUUGGAAUGUGAAGAAGUGGAAGAACAGCCGAGCAGUAGGGACUAUGCCAGCAUCCCUGAGAACGUUAAUAAAUCCCCGGACAUAGAAGAAAAAAGCGGCACCCAUCUGGGAGAUGCACAAUCCAGAGUAUAGAAGUAUUUCACUAAUUAUGGAAGGGAUCGGAAGGAUCGGAAAGUUAGUGAAAUAUACACGAUGGAGUGCCAGCAUGAAAUAGGGGGGCACGUCGCCAGUGUUCUCAGAGGGGUACGCCCAGUACACUCUCUCUCUAAGCUGUCUUUUGGACAUGCUUUGUUGAGGUCUGUGAAGUCUACACACAUCCUCCAUUUCCCAAUGGAUUUUUUAACCAUGACUGGGUUUGCUAGCCACUUUGGAUAUUUAACUUCCCGGAUGUGCCCAGCCUUGAUUAAUUUUUCAAUUUCAGCCUGUGCUGCUUCCUUUCUUUCAGCUGCGAGUAUUCUUCGCUUUUGCCGUAUAGGAGUAAAGCUGUUGUCUAUGUUGAGUUCAUGUCAUGUUAUAGUACGUUGUACCUGUGAGGGUGCUUCCCCUUCCCAUACAAACGUGUGCACAUGAGUUUCUAACAAAUGCAGUAGUGAUUUUUUCAACUCGGAGGAUACAGAUGUGCCUAUCAGGACUCCUCCCUUUGAGAGUUUGACUUCCUCAACUUGAUUGGCUGAGGUUGUGUCUUCUUCCUCCUCUCUUUCCUGAAUGUAUAGGGUUAUUGGUUUGGCCAUUUUAGUUGCCUUCCUAUAUGAGUUUCUGGAGUCUUUCUGUGCUCCGAAGACUGUUGCCAUUUUUCCAUCUUUUCCUGGGUACCUGAAGCAUUGGUGGUAAGAUGACGGUAUUGCCUUGAAACCGUGAAUGCUUGGUCUGCCCAGGAUCCCAUUGAACGGAGAAUCUAUGUUGACCACAAUGAAGUGUGCCGUGCGUGAUACUCUUCCGUUUCUUUUUCCCAGGGAUAUCUGUAGAUCGAUGGCUCCUACUACUGGGGCCUUUGUGUUUGUGAACCCAUAAAUGGCUUCCUUGGCCGGGGUUAGUUGAUCCACCUUGUAGCCCAUUUUCUCGAACGCAGCUAGGUACAGUAUGUCUACCGAGCUGCCAUUGUCCACCAUUACCUUACUCAGACUUAAAUUAUCCCUGAUGUCCACUUGUAUUACUAGCGGAUCUUCGUGCGGGCUGUCCACGUUGUCCAGAUCUUCCUCAGAGAAGCUUAUUUCCUCGCUUGGGUACGAUAUUUUCUUAGAUUUUGGUACCGUCGUAGUCUGCAUAACUUUUAUAAUUGAAUUUAUAACUUUAAAAUAACUUUUUUUAAUUUUAAUUUUGAACUUUAAAAUUUAAAACAUCUAAAAUAACUUUAAUUUAUAACUUCUUUAAUUUUUUUUAAUUUAAGAAUAAACUUAUUUUAUAAGUUUUAAAAUAUCUAAUUUAUUAAAUUGAAUUUUAGAAUUUAGAAUUUAUUAAAUUAGACUAACCCUAACCUACUAAAGUUAAUAUUAGAAAUUGAUAUUUUUUAUAAUUUUUAAUAAAUCACUAGUUGGUAAUUUUUUACUUUUUAGGAUUUAUAAUUUUAAAUAUCUUUUAUAAUUGAAUUUAUAACUUCAAAUAGCUUUUUUUAAUUUAAUUUUUCACUUUAAAAUUUAAAAUAUCUAAAAUAACUUUAAUUUAUAACUUCUUCUAUUUUUUUUAAAAUUAAAAUAAACUUUUUUUAUAAGUUUUAUUAAAAUAUCUAAUUUAUUAAAUUGAAUUUUAGAAUUUAAAUUUUUUAAAUUAGACUAAACCUAAUCUACUAAAGUUAAUAUUAGAAAUUGAUAUUUUUUAUAAUUUUUAAAAAAUCACUAGUUGUUAAUUUUUUAGUUUUUAGGAUUUAUAAUUUAAAAUAACUUUUAUAAUUGAAUUUAUAACUUUAAAAAUUAAAAUACCUUAUUAAAUUUUUUUUUUAACUUUAAAAUUUAAAAUAUCUAAAAUAACUUUAAUUUAUAAUUUAAAUUAUAAAAAUAGUUUAUAAAAAAGUCAUAACACUAUCUAUCUCUUAACACUAUAAUCUAACUUCUUCUAACCCUACCUUCUAACUACUAACUCUUACUUCUAACCCUAACUUCUAACCCUAACACUAUCUACAUAUGUAUAUAAACUUAUUUUUACUAAUUUUUAAUAAUUCUUGUCAAUUUCUAUUAACCCUAACCCUAAUUUUUUACAUUUACAUAUAUAUAUAUUAUAAUUAUAAGUCACGGCUAAAUGCCGUGGCUAAUAAUUAGAAAAUAUCAGUAGCUAAUUUAACUGUCACUAAAUUAGCCACGGCUCCUCCAAAUCCGUGGCCAAAUUUGAGUGAAAAAUUGGAGGGAAUUUUUGCCAGGAAGUUUAUCCACGGAUUAGCCAUAGAUUUUUACAUCCGUGGCUAAAUAUUCAAAUUAGCCACAGCUUUUACUGGCCGUGGCUAAACCUGUGGGCGUAGCCCUGCUUUCUUGUAGUGGAUGUCGGGAGGAAAGGAAUCGUUGCGCACCUAGGAUAGUAAUGGGCAUUUCUCAAGUUUAUAUAUUAAAUGUAAAAACUAUUUUAUUGAGUGAUUACAUAUUGUUAACCUAAUUUAAUCUAAACAUUACAUAUUUAUACUAAACAAAUGUGAUAAGUGGAGAUGACUUGAACUAAGACCUAUUCGUUUGUUGGGCAUGAUCAAUGAAAUCAAUAUGAUAAAUAUCAAUAGAAUCAAUAAUUGAGAUAUAUAAUAAUUUAAUUUUCAACAAUUUUUCACUUCAACAAUUUUACUGUGGCGUUAGUCAUAUACUUAUAUAUGAUCGAUUUUAAUUUCGGAUUUUUUGAAAAAAAAUAAAGUGACUGAGUGAAAAAUUAAUAGAAAAUUGAUGGUGAUCGAAAUGCUUAAAAUCAUCAGGGUGUCACCAUAAUCCGUAACAAAUUUUCGAUCUCAUCAUCGAUUUCAAAAUGGAUGGUUGAAAUUGGGCCACCUUUAAAAAAAGAGGUUGAGUCCCUAUAUGUUUUUAUGAUUAUAUCUAAAUAUUAUUUACAUUUUAUAUAUUUUUACGUAAGAAUAAGAUGGAAGAAAAUGAAGGAAAAACAUUCAUAUGAAAUAUAAAUUUUGUUCUUGUUUUUAAUUUGUUAUUAUUUAAAUAUUAUCAUUUUUUUAAUUAUUCAAUAAAAAUUUAUUAAGUAUUUCAUUUUAAAGAUUUUCAGGUCACCAUAAAUUUUAAAUUAUUUUUUUAUAACUCUGUCAUUUUUUUAAAAUUCAAAAUUAAAAUCGAUUAUAACUCACGACAUAGUACAUAAAUCCAAAAAUGGUUAAAAGAAUACUUGUUGGAAAUUAUAUGGUUUUGAAGAACAUCUGAAAAAUCGAACAAAAUAAGAUUUUAAAAAAAUAUGUACAUUUUAUGACACAAAUCGCAGAAUUUUUUUUUUGGCACGUCCAAAUUUGAAUAGACAGAAAAAUAUGCAAAUGCAUUGAUGGCGGCAGAAUUAGACUAGAAAUCAACAAUGGUUAUUAUAACUUCUUAAUUAGUAACUGACAAUUAACUAUAAUUAAAAAGUUAACAUGAUAUUUUGAAUAAAAGAGAAAACGAAGAUCAUUUUAAAUGAAAUUACGAAUGAGACAAUUAUAAAAAAAAUCAAAAAAUGUAAUAUUCGUGAAGACCAACUUGCAGUUUUUGACCACAAACAUGAGUAGUCGUUAAAAAGUCUUUUUUCUUCUAGUCGUAUUGUUUCUCGACUCUUCUAGUCAUAAAAUUCGCAUACAGUUAUCCAUACAAUACUUUUUUUUUCUUAAACAAUUAAAUGUCAUUAAAAAAAAGGUACUACCGAAAUUACAAAAUAGAGAAUAAAACGAAAAGUAAAUGAAAAAAAGAACUAAUAUGUUAUUCAAAUUAUUCAAACAAUUGAGUUUUUCCAAAAGAAAUAUGAAAUUGAUCAUAGUUUGCAUAGAUUGAACACCUGACUUUGAGGUUUUCAGGUUAAAUAUUUUAACCAUAAUACUACCAAACUAAUUAUAACAAACACAAGAAAUUCUAAAAAAUAAAAUCCUCAUAUACAAGAAGGGGGACUUACGACACCUUGAUUUGAACCUUCCACAUUAUCGCAACUAGAUUUUAAUUUUUUUCCUCUUAAAUUUGUGCUCGGAGUAAGAUUUAUAUUCGCCAGCUUUAUAUCGCAUGGUUUGGAUUCGCUGCAUUGUAGUUUUAUUGCCAGCUCUGAAGAAGAUGUUCCAUUUGAUGAGUGUACUUGAUCGUUGAUCUCAAUACUAGCGGCUUCCAUAACAUUUCUUUGGAGCUCAUUAUAGUCAGUAUAUAAAAAUGAAAAUAAAUAAUAUGACUUAAAUUUGUUAAAAUACUUAAAACGAAACGUUUCUAACGAAGUUUCUUACAAUGAAGCAUCCUCCCUUUGGAUGAGCUCAAUCGUUUGUCUUAGCCAAACUAUGUGUUUUCUUAUAAACCUCACAGUGACCGACUUCAUGGUCAGCUUCUUCAUUCUGAUUCUCAUACACAAAAAAUUAGAAUGGUAAACGUAAAAUAUAUGAAAGAAUUGUUUUUUUACCAUUCUUUGAUGAGUGACAGCAACUGGACAAGAUCCACCAGUGUAUGGCAUGUAAUCUAGAUUGGUUAUCUUAUUUUCUGUUACUUUUUCAGAUCUUUUUUACCAAUCUUCUUUUAACCAACUUUCUACCAUUUCACUCCAUACUUCCGCAGAAAGGUAUAUUGGUGGAAAUCGAGCACAAGAUCUGGUGAGUUUGUUAACUUUGGCUAAUUUUUUUACUUCUUGUCUCGCUUUAUACAACCAACAUGUAUAAUUCAGUUGUACAUAGUUAUCAAAAAAAUUCACGAGCCAAUUGAAUGUCUUCAAAUGCGAAAUAGCACUACAUAAAGACAAAAAAAUUACAUAUGGAAAAAAAUGACAAAAUAAAUAAAUAAAUCAUACCAAAAAUUUGACGAAAAGAUUUUCUUUUUCCUCUUCUUUCCAAGAAGUCCAUUUAGUUAAGGUGACGUUAUGUUACCUUUUACUAAUAUUCCUAUUUGACUUCGUACAUUGUUUGUAAAAGUCUUAUAAAAAACAAUCAAAUUAAAUAAUAUUGAUGGGGGUGAAACCCGACCAGUACUCCAAGACGCGCAAGCAAGCGCCAAGCGGGGAACUCCGCGGGAAACCGGACCGGAACUCAAGUGCGCAGAGCUCUGCUUCGCUAGGACUUCUUCGACUCCAAAUGACCUGCCUUUAAUGAGUGGGGGAUGCCUCCUAUUUAUAGGGGUUCUUAUGGGGGUAAUCUGGUCAUUUGGGCAGUAACCGCCUAACUGCCUAACUGAUCAGAUCGGGGCCCAAGAUCGACUUUCCAGAGAUCGACUUUCUGGGGAUCGACUUUAUUCAGAAGUCGAUGCCAGGGAAGUCGAUCCUCAGGAAAGUCGAUCUUCCUAGGAUUCGACUUGGGACCUUCCCAACCCUAGAAUAGGUACCUUAACUCAUCUUAGGCUAUCCGGACUUCUAGUUGCUGGUAGGUUGUGACCGGGUUCGGGAUACUGUAUCACUAGNNNNNNNNNNNNNNNNNNNNNNNNNNNNNNNNNNNNNNNNNNNNNNNNNNNNNNNNNNNNNNNNNNNNNNNNNNNNNNNNNNNNNNNNNNNNNNNNNNNNUCCAUGCUUGAAGAAAGGCAUCUGUAGAAUCUACCGAUCCUCCUAUCGUAGCACCAUAAUCUAUAACAUUAUGGAAUAAAACAUAAGAAGAUCCGGAUGUUGAAAGAAUUUGAAUGAAAAAGAACGCGAGAAAGACAAGAUCCAUCUUUAACUUUGUUUUGCUCUAUAUGCUAUAAAACUCUAUGUCUUUUAUAGCUGGUAAACUUGAACGAUUGAUCAUAAAUAAAUGAAAUUUGCUACGCUCAUAUAACUAGAGGUGGAAAUAGAAAAGAUCUAGACUUUAAGAAUGACCUAAUUAUAAGCUUAUAGCUAUUUUCUUUCUUUGUUUUGUUUCUAUUUAUUCUUUUUGAAAUUCAGGAUCAAUGAAAUUUUAAUUUAUUUGAUUGUUUAAUUAUAUAUAUAGAUAAAUAGUAAAAGUAAACUAAUAUUUUUAUGUCAACUGUGUGUAAUUUAAAAUAGUAUGGAUAUUAAAAGGGAGAAUUAAAGUUCAGUAAGUGAUUAAAACUAAGAGGUUUCUGAUACACUGCAGGUGAUCAGGCUCCUUUCGAAGAACAGAUUCGGAUACGAAAAAUGAUAUCUGAAAUUUAUCCGAACGAAUUUUCAGAUAUCUGCAAUAUCUAUCGUUGAAAUCCGAAUUCAGUUGAUAAUUUCGGAUACGGAUAUCCGAAUAAAUAUAAAUUGACUUUCGGAUAUUCGGAUUAUCCAGAUAUCCGAAUAUUAAGAUGAUUUGCCCAUGAUGGCUUGAAACCAAUAUGAUACCUUGCCCAUAAUAAGCAAGUUUACUAGCUGUACCUUAUCCCCGACCUUAAUAUAACAUUUUGUUUUUCCAUUUCGCUAGAUAGAUUCUGAGUUGUUCCAACAAGUUACUACAAUAAGAUAUUUUCACAUUUCUACCGAUGACCCGAAGUGCUACCUCUGGAAAUUCGUGUUGGAAAUCUCAUAAAGUGUGUGAUCUUCACAUAUUAUUAAUAAUAUCACAAGUGUUAAAGUUUUAAACAAAAGUAUAUUCAUAUGGAUACAUUAGUGUAGCCUAGACAAUAGAAGUUGAUCUGGAGCUCAAAUAAGACGACUUCACAAUAACUUGUUGACUCAGCCUUUGUUUCUCAUGCAACCUGGUUACAGCCCAAGUAAGAGAUUGGAGAUCCCCAUUUCUGGAAUACUUCCAAGGUGGAAAAAUGUAAGAGGAUAAGAAUGAGCGUCGGAAGUUACAAACACGCAUUCUGAGAUUUUGCAACAUAGGGGACACCCUCUAAAGAAAUCCUACGAUGAUGGAUCCCUAAUAAAUGGUCUCAUAAUACGAGGAUCAAUACACAGCAGAAGAAAUUCACAAAGGUGUGUGGGGAAUCCACCAAGGGGGAGAUCUUUAGAUCAAAGAAUAGCAAGACAAGGAUACUUCUACUCACAUUAAAAAGAGAUACAAUAUUCAUUUAUGCAAGAGGGUAUAAAGCUAAUAAGAUUCACAAAAAUAUCCAAAGAAAUCCCGCGACAUUACUAACCGGGAUUAAUUGUCCAAUCUCUUUUGCAAUGUGGGGGUUGGAUAUUGUUAGACCAAAUUUAUAUUUAUCACCGUUGACUACUUUACUAAGUGGGUUGAAACCUUAGAAGUAUCCUGAAACAACUCAAAUUAAAUCAAUUACGUAAAAGAGUUGACCUGAUGGUCGGGAUUGCCCCGAUCCAAAAUCUGAAGACCCUAGGUGUCAGAGGCAGCACGCAACCGGG
This 14005-nucleotide long non-coding RNA is filed under the name Zostera marina. RNAcentral's name for it is "long non-coding RNA (ZMAR_LNC005109)". Lineage: Eukaryota; Viridiplantae; Streptophyta; Magnoliopsida; Alismatales; Zosteraceae. The record is from RNAcentral.